Molecule: RNase P RNA, 352 nt
Filed under: Candidatus Woesearchaeota archaeon
Lineage: Archaea; Nanobdellati; Candidatus Woesearchaeota
Description: RNase P RNA component
Rfam family: Archaeal RNase P
About the family: Ribonuclease P (RNase P) is a ubiquitous endoribonuclease, found in archaea, bacteria and eukarya as well as chloroplasts and mitochondria. Its best characterised activity is the generation of mature 5'-ends of tRNAs by cleaving the 5'-leader elements of precursor-tRNAs. Cellular RNase Ps are ribonucleoproteins.
Source: RNAcentral
GUAGGGUGCUACUUAACUCAGACAGUUUUACUGUUUAGGAAAGUCCGCCCACAGCAAAUGCCACUCUUGCAAAAGAGUUCUGGAAACAGAAGGCAACCACUCAGAAACGAAACGACCUUUAAACAGGAUGAUGCUGUGAAAACAUUGGUGACAAUGUUGAGAUCCACAGAAAUCUUCGAUUUCUGGGACGCCAGAAAUUUUCAAUUUCUGAGCGUAACCAGCAGACGUUUUUGAAGGAAUCGGUGAAACGGUGAGCCCUGGCUUGUGCAAGUGCAACACGCUUAGUUAAAUGUUAAGGAGGAUCAUUCACUUCAACGUGAGAUCCUACAGAAGGCGGCUUAUGGUGCCCUAC